UACGGACUUAAAAUCCGUCGACUUUAAAAAUCGUGAGGGUUCAAGUCCCUCUAUCCCCA
This 59-nucleotide transfer RNA is filed under the name Eucalyptus diversifolia. Its description in RNAcentral is "partial tRNA-Leu". It matches the Rfam family "tRNA", at positions 25 to 71 of the family's 71-position model. From Rfam's summary of the family: Transfer RNA (tRNA) molecules are approximately 80 nucleotides in length. RNAcentral also lists the same sequence under 54 other names. The record is from RNAcentral. Lineage: Eukaryota; Viridiplantae; Streptophyta; Magnoliopsida; Myrtales; Myrtaceae.